This is a long non-coding RNA of Pieris brassicae (large cabbage white), 1010 nucleotides long. RefSeq lists it as uncharacterized. The record is from RefSeq and is a predicted model, not a curated record. NCBI's taxonomy places the organism in Eukaryota, Metazoa, Arthropoda, Insecta, Lepidoptera, Pieridae. The transcript is spliced from 3 exons.
UUAUCAUAAAGAAGACUAUUUUUUUAAGAACGGACAAGCUCACCUGAUGUUGAUACGGCCGUCCACUGACCUGACUUCGUGCCAGCCAGCCUUUUAGGAAUUGGUACUCCAAACCGAAUUUGGUUUGUAAAUAUUUAGCAGAGAGAUGAUUGAAUAGGCAAAUUGAUUGCUGCGAGGCCAUUGUUGGCGAACGUUAUCGGGCUCAAAGUUGAUUAAACGAACGGCAAGCCCGCAGCUCAAUAUAGUGAACAAAUUUAUGGUUUGCGUAUUCAUGUAACUUGAUAUUUAUUUAAUAAUUCUUCAUAAUUUCUUUCCUCUAACUUUGAUUUUGUUCCCUUUUGAGAGUGACUCUUCGGCCUUUCAAGUGUACAUCGAAGAAGUUGUCGCCUGAUAGUACCGGUGACCUCAGAACUGGUGCUUUCUACGCUCAACGAAUAAGUAUGCAAUGCCACAGAAAUUGACAGACGUUUGGCCACAAUCCCAUCUGAUGUUAAGUGAGAUGUGGCCUAUUGGCACGCUUGUUCAGAAAAACUCUAUUUUUUGGUUAAAAGAACCCAUGUUAUGCUGUCUAAAGAAGAUGGUGGAAGGAAGGUGGCAACGAGUUCAUACAGUAAACAACGAACCAAAUCGUGCAGCACCUGGAGAUGUUGAGGGUUAAAACUUCAGCGUGUCUCUAGAUGAGCGUUGUUUGAAACAGGAAUAACAUAAUCAGACUGUGUAGUUCCAUGGAACUCUGGACUGAAAGGACGGCACUGGUCAAGAGUUGAUAUUCAACGAGAAAUUAACACAAUGACAAAUUAUGUUAUAUUUAUUGUUUAAUAAUACGUUACGAUACUUUGAAACGUGAACGUUACAAAGGCUAGUGCAAAAAUAUCGUAUUUAGUUGUUAUUUAAGUAGAUUUUUAUGUAUGUUUUAGUCAAUUAAAACGAAUAUCAACAGUUUCGAAUAUUAAUGUUAUAAAAUAAAUUCAUGUUAAUAAGUAUUAUUUAUUAUACUCUCAGAUAACUUA